CCGGGCCGGGCCCAGGGGGGCGUCAGGUCCACACAGACGGCGCGCUGGGGCACGUCCGGGGGCAGGGCCCCUGACACCCCGUCCUCUGCCCAGGCUACCCGCCAGGCGGUCCAGAUGGGGCCGCAGAAUGGAUGUUUCCCAUUGAGAACGUCCCCUCGACUCUUCAGUGGAUCCCUGUCACCCACUUCUGGCCCAACCGACUCCUUAUCUGCUUUCUGUCACUAUCAGAUGAUUUUACCUGUUUCUGAACUUCACACAAAUGGAAACAAAAGGGACUUUAUGAAGAGCCCAAAUGGCAGGCUGCUGUUGACUCGUGGACAUGGCUGCUUAGCACAGCCACCCAGAGAAUCGAAGGCCAUGGAUCAUGUUUUUAAAAAUAAAAGACUGUGUUUUUCAGAUUAAUUGCUUCUCUCUCCCACACCAGCCUUUGCAGGGAAGCUGCUCAAAUUGACCAAUUUAAAUGUGACCUCCUUUCUUUCUUCUCUAUCCUCUCUGAGUCAGUUGCUAAGAAGCAAUGAAAGGAAGGUAUCUGGGGAAAAUGUGUUCUUACAAGUGUGGAGUACAGGCAGUCCCCGGAUUACAAAUGAGUUUGUUCCUAAAUCUGUUUUUAAGUUGAAUUUGUACGUAAAUUGAAACAGUUAGGUAUGGUUAGGUCUAACCUCAGACAAAUGUUUGUCUUAGUGUAUAGCAUAUAGUGUACCUCUCUAAGCAUAAAAAACAUUAAACACUUCCAGAUACCCUAAAACAUCUUAACAUAAUAAUACAAUAAUAAUAAUAAUGUUUUGAUGCAGGUCACAAAGUAGCACCUAUUAUUACAAAGGAUUGUAAUGUACCUCGAAUUUUUAAUAAAAUAGGCUUUAUGAAAGUUGAUUUGUAACUGUGGGUUGUAUGUAAAUUGACAUUUAUAACCUAGGGACUGCCUGUAAGUGCAGCUCUUCCAAAACUGACCCUCACUCCAGACAACCUGGGGGAUGGACAAGGGUGAUGGUAUCACCCCAUUUUGCAGAUUGGGAAGCUGAGACCUAGUGAGGUCAAGAGGUUUGUCUGAACCCCUCCCCCCACCCAGCAAGAGAGUGGGAGAAGAUAACCAGGAGCUUCAGGUAGGAUGGCAAAGGGGUUGAAAACUCGAACUUUAAAUCUGAAUCCCAGCUCUGUGCCUUUGUAGCUGAGUUAUAUGUUAACCAACUCCCUUAACCUCUCUGAACUUUAGUCUCUUCUUCGAAACACAGAUUACACUGUAAUACUCACCCUCCAGGGUUGUUGAUCAGAUUAAAUGAGAUAAUGUAUGUAAUGUGCUCAGGACAAAGUUCAGGAAAAAGCCAGUACUCAAUAAAUGAUGGGUUAAAAUGUUUUCUCAACCCCUCCUUUCCACUUUCCUCAACUACAGCAAGAAAAUGCAACUGAUUCCACCCAGCCCAGGAUGAAGGAAAAGGAGUGGACGUUUUCUUGUAGCUCCAGGGAGCAGAGCCUUACAGACACAGAGCAGUGAGAAGGCAGGUUACAGCAGUAGCGUGUGUUAAACAAAACUCCUAGACUGUAAUAGAAACCAAUCAGAGAAGCUUAAACAAAGAGCAGAAACGAUUAUAAGGUUGUGAGGGUGUCUCACAGAACCCCAGUGGCAUAAAAGUAGCCACUACUCAGAAAGGGCCCAAAACCAGGAACGACAAGGACCUGAGGACUUCUCUCUGCUUUGCAUUUCUGCUUCUCUCUGCGUCAUCUUUCCCCUGUAGACACUUCCUCUGCUGUGUUGCUUCCUUGUGACAGAAGGCAGCCAUUCGAACUGCUCAGAUCAAACUAGGACCUCUUUGGCCAGUUCUAAGGGAAGGACCUGGUUGGCCCAGAUGCCCACCCCAGCCAGUGUUCAAGCCAAGUUGCCAGCAUCCAACUCCUAGCGGCUAGAAUGAUGGUCAGAUGGGUCACUGUGAGCUGGGCAGACCUCCCAAGAACUGUGUUGUGCUCCCCCAUCCUUGUACAUUUCUUUAUUUUAUUAAUAAUAGUAGCUAAGACCCAUAUAGGGCUUUCUGGGUGAUGGUCACAAUUGUUGUGAGCACUUUGCAUACAUUUAAACUAGUUCUCAUCAAAACUCGAUGAGGUUUUUUGUCACCAUUGUACCGAUGAGGAAACUAAGGCGCGGAGCCGUUAAAUGACUUGAGCUUGGCCAACCUGGUACCAGAUUCUCUUGGUCGCCAUGCCGUGCUGCCCCAAUCAUGCUUUUCAUAAUUCAUCUGUUAGCCUGUGUCUCUCAAAAUGAGAAGAAAGAUGAGGAAGGGGAGGAAUUGGAUAUCCGAUAUUUCACAAAAGCAUUUAACAGUUGACAAGGGAAAAAUGCUGGAAUUUUGCAGGCCGUCCUCACUGUUUGUAUUUUUAACUGCAGUUUUGGAGCAUCCAUGGCAGUCGGCGCAGUGGUUAAGAAGAGCUGGGCUGCAAACUGAAAGGUCAGCAGCUUGAAUUCACCAGCCAUUCCUUAGAAUCCCUAUGUGGCAGUUCCACUCUGUCCUAUAGGGUCGCUAUGAGUUGGAAUUGAUUUUACGGCAGUGAAUUUUUUUUUAAGAGGUCUUAUUGGAGUCCCUGGGUGGCUUAAACAGUUAUGCCCUGGAUGACUAGCCAAAAGUUUGGAGGUUCAAACCCUCCUAGAGGUACCUGGGGAGACAGGCCUGGUGAUCUGCUACUGAAAGGUCACAACCUUGAAAACCCUCUGUAGCAGUUCUACUCUGCACACAUGGGGUCUCCAGAGUUGGAAUUGACUCAAGAGCAACUAACAACAACAAGCGUCUUAUCUACCCCUGUGACCUUCCCCUUGGCCUGGGACCACUUGGGGCCAAGAUCUGUGGCUUCUUUAUCUCUUACACCAAAAUUGCAGGGGCAGGAGCUCAAUAAGAUUCAUUGCCCUGAGCAAAUGUGUAACCCACUUUACAGUUUUCAACACUUCCAAAGUCAGGCAAAGAGAUCAGUCCCAGUGUGUGAUACCUCAAGAAAAAGGAGAGCUUAGGGAAAGAAUACAUAUAUACGCAUGGGGACCCAACAAACGCUGAAUAAGCAGGACUCAGGAGGAACAGGACCCCUGGCAGGGUCUGUGGG
Loxodonta africana (African savanna elephant) is the source of this 3078-nucleotide long non-coding RNA. RefSeq lists it as uncharacterized. The transcript is spliced from 3 exons. NCBI's taxonomy places the organism in Eukaryota, Metazoa, Chordata, Mammalia, Proboscidea, Elephantidae. The record is from RefSeq and is a predicted model, not a curated record.